Molecule: long non-coding RNA, 325 nt
Organism: Seriola aureovittata
Lineage: Eukaryota; Metazoa; Chordata; Actinopteri; Carangiformes; Carangidae
Exons: 2
Source: RefSeq, a predicted model, not a curated record
GAGACCGGGGCGCUUCACGAAACAGAUGACAUCACGAUAUAUUGAAGCAACACACGAAGACAUGAGUCAGGAAGUUAAGGCUCGGACCGAGUUUAAAUGUGUUUGGCUAAGACGCAGCACAUGGAGACGAUGGCGAAGGAUCCCAGGAUUCCUGCUGUGCCGACGAUCCAGGUGAGACGCAGGAAGAGGAUGACACCCAGGAUGUUCUGCAUGCAGGGCAGGUACACUCCGAUGAAGGUUCCCAUCUGGGGGACCUGGAGAUGGGUAAACACGCAUAGAUUUGCACACAAGUGAGAAUCAGUGAUAAUAAGCAGGGGAGGGAAAG